GGAACUAGACUGGGGUGGGCCAGACGGAGAGCCAGGUUCUGCGUGGUGCUGAGCCCAGAGGACAAGGGGUGGAAGCCGGCUUGGAGUUAGGUCCCACUGGCCCCCUGGGGUGUCCAGGUCGACCCAGCGCUGAAGGGUCAGCCUUGACUGGCACCGUGCCUCCUCCUGCCACCCACCAGUCAGAAGACAGCAGCCUGAAAUGAGAAUUCCCCAGAGUCUCCAAUGUCCUGGACCUGCUUGUCAGAUGGGGAAACUGAGGCACAUCCAACCACCUGCUUCCUAGAGCAGGUACCUCUCAACUGAAGGCCCACGGUGACCAACACCACAGCCCUGUACCCCUGCAGGAACGUUGGGGCGACUGUUUCAGCUGCCCCGCAGGCUCUGUCUGCAGGGUUGCUUAGGAUUUGACCCACAGCACGGACUCCUGUGGAGCCUCCUUUCCUCCUGGACCAGCGCUGUCCCAGCCUCCACUGGGGAUGCUUGCUAGAGACACAGGAAAGAUCUGUGGCAGAUGGGGCCUCCCAGGUCCACCCAGCCUCAAGGGGAGCCAACCAAGGAGUGGGGAGUGGAAACUUCACCCCAACCCCUGGCAUCCAUGUACCCAAAGAGUCUUGAAUGCUCAUCCCAAUCUCCCUCCCCCAUCUCUCCCCAAAUCCUGCUGCAUCUCAGAAAGCCCACCAAAUGAUGACCCCCUCCCCAGAGAUGCUCAAGACCUCGCCCUCAGGGUAUUUAAACUGCCCACCAGAAAACAGCAUGGUGGGUUUGUGGUCUUCCUUCCCUGUCUCCUCUCUGGGGGCUGGAAAAUCACCCAGGAGCGUUGUACCCAUUAAACCUGGGCUUUUUCUAA
This is a long non-coding RNA of Myodes glareolus (Bank vole), 847 nucleotides long. RefSeq lists it as uncharacterized. Lineage: Eukaryota; Metazoa; Chordata; Mammalia; Rodentia; Cricetidae. The record is from RefSeq and is a predicted model, not a curated record.